Molecule: non-coding RNA, 28 nt
Filed under: Cricetulus griseus (Chinese hamster)
Lineage: Eukaryota; Metazoa; Chordata; Mammalia; Rodentia; Cricetidae
Source: RNAcentral
GCAGGAACUGAGACGCUGGAAAACCACU